Molecule: long non-coding RNA, 4228 nt
Organism: Loxodonta africana (African savanna elephant)
Lineage: Eukaryota; Metazoa; Chordata; Mammalia; Proboscidea; Elephantidae
Exons: 3
Source: RefSeq, a predicted model, not a curated record
CUCUGUCUUGUCUCCUCUUUUAUACAGACACUACUCAUAUUGGAUUUGGACCCACCCUACUUCAAAGUGACCUCAUGUGAACUUAAUUGAUAACAUUUUCAAAGACCUUAUUUCCAAACGAGGCCUUGCUCUAAGGCACCAGGGGUUAGGACUGCAACAUAUCUUUUUGAUGGAAACAACUCAGUCCAUAACAAGUGCCUGGUUUGUGAGUGAAUGAAUGAAUGAAAUCUGUGUAUCAUUGCUUCCCUUACCUCAUCUGACCCCUUUCCCUUUUCCUAUGCCUCUGAUACUCAGAAAGGACAUCAGGAGUCCUGUUCCCAGCAGGCUGACCUUCACCAGAGACCUGAGGCUGUGACUCCCAGGGGUCUGACCAGGUGGUACCUGCUUCCCCAGAACAGACCCUUGUGCACAAGACCAGGAAGCACGAUUUGGGAGCUCUCACCCUUCCUUGAUGCCUUACUUAGGACAGGCUCCUGCCUCUUCCUCCUUUCUAUCUCUCCAUAUUUCUCUCUCUCUCAGGGUUCAUCUGUGACCUGCAGAAAUGGAAUGGGAUAAUGUUAAACAAUCAGUCUCAGCUGACGUCCAUGAGUGUGAAGUUCCUCUUCUGGGUUUGUUUGUUGCUUUACAUUUUAUUACCACUGUCUUCCUGCCCAGGCUUCCUCUGCCUUCCUGCAUCUGCAGCUUUCCUUUCCCUUUCAGAGGGAUUCUGGAAGGCAGAAAGUCUUAGGCAAGGGCCAGAGAUGCUGCUGCCACCACCACUUCUACCCCUGCUGUAGGGAGCCCUGACUCAAUCACCCAACGUCCAGAUCCCAGGAACCCUGGAGUCUGGCUGCCCCAGGAACCUUACCUGCACUGUGCCCUUGGCCUGUGAGCAGGGGACACCUCUUUGGGCCACAGGACCCACCUCUCCUCAGUGUUCACCCUCUCUCCAAGGCCACAGGACCAUGGCACCAGCCUAACCUGUCAGGUGACCUUCCUUGAAGUUGGUGUGACUGUAAAGAGGACCAUCCAGCUCAAUGUCUCCUGGCUCCAACUUGUGCUUGCAUCCAAAUACCCCACGGUUUGACCACCAAUAUUUCCUCUACCUGGCCAGAGAAUGAGGUGCAAACUCCACAGCCUGGACUUAAGGCCUUGCAUCGCCUGCCCCUGCUGGACCCUCUGGCCAGAUUUCUUCCGCCUACCCGGACAUCACACAUCAUCUCACCACACCAAAUCCAGCCAGGACUUCUUGUGACUUCAUGGCUUUGCAUGUAGAGUUCUUUCUCCCAAAAUGCCCUUCCAUCCCCAUUCUGCUUUCCCAAGGCUCUCUCAUCUUUUAAUCUCAGUCUUAAAUAUCAACCAGGUGGAUGUGUGUGUCUCUGUGUGUGUAAUACUCACUGUGUGGGUUUGAGAAGAGGAGUGACAUUCAUUCAUUUAUUCACAGACACCUUCACCAAGUAUUACUGAACAUCACUAUGUGCUGGGCAUUGUUGCAUGUGCAAAGGGUGACACAGAGAACAUGACCCCAAAAACCUUUGUUCUUAAGGAGCUAUUGUUCUAGAAACAAGAAGAAUAGAAAUAGAAAGAAACAGACAUUAAGUAAAAUUGAGUGUGCUGGAUGGUCCUUGGAGAAAAACGAUGCAGGGAAAAAAGUAUAAGACAAAUUGGGGUGAAUUUCCACAUUUGAUAGUGUGAGGAGGUGAUGUUUGUGCAAAGACCUGAGGACAGAGAGAAAGCCCAUUCUAUGUUCACCUAAGAGCAAAAGAUUCCAGAAGAGGGAAAAGAGGGAACCCUGAGUGCAAUGGCCCUGAGGCAGAGGGAGGCCUGGUGUGCUGUGGAAAUGACGAGGAGGCUAGUGUUUGAAGCAGAGGGAGGCAGAGGAGGAAAGAGAACCUAGAGGGAUGGUACAGACCUUGAGGUGCCUUGCAGGUCAAUGGAAGAAUCUAAAAACCUUUGAGAGGAUGGGAGACAUGAUAGGACUUUCAUGUUGGCAGGAUCCCCAUGGCUGCUGUGUUAAGGAAAGACCAAAGUGGGACCAAACCAAAAAAAAUUUAACCAGUUGCAGUUGAGUUCACUCCAACUCAUAGUGACCCCACGUGUGACAGAGUAGAAUUGUGCUCCAUUAGGUUUUCAGUGGCUGAUAUUUCAAAAGUAGAUAGCCAGGUCUUUCUUUCAAGGAGCUUCUGGGUGCAUUCCAACCUCCAACCUUUUGGUCAGCUGCCAAACUCUUAACCAUUUGUACCAUCCAGGGACUCCUGGAGUGUGAGCAGGACAACAAAAAAGAGAUCGGCAAGGUGCUACCGGAUGCUCGAGGCAGGAUCCUGGAGAUUAGGGUUUGAACCUGGGAGAUAAUGCUGGUGGUGAUGAUACACGUUUGGAUGUACUUUGAAGAUCAAGCUAGCAUGAUUUUCUAAUGCAUGUGAGGACUGAGGGAAAGAGAAGAGCAAGGAUGACACCAAAAUAUUCUCUGAGAAACUGAAAGAAAGAAGGUAUGUUACGUAGAGGAAUCCAAGAGCAGCAUUUUGUUAAUUCCAAGGGGCUGCUUGAUCUCCCAGUGGGAUGUCAGGUGGAUGUUGGAUUUAAAUGCCUGAAGGUCAAGAGAGGAGUUCAGGCUGGUGAUGUUAAUAUGCGUAAAUAGAUGUAAAAAUGUGGAAACAGGUAGUCGUGAUUGUCGUACAACAUGAUGAGCAUAAUUAAUUUCACUGAAUUACACAUGUAAAAAAUGUUCAAAUGGCAACUGUUUUAUUAUAUAUGCAUACCUACCACAAUAAACACGCAUGCAAUGUUGAGCCAAAAAAGCAUGUUGAAAAGUAAAACACAAAUAACGUGUAUAACUAGUAUGACGUGCGGACGACAGAUGAGAUGAAAAGGGGCUGACUGUACAGCCAGAAUAGAGGGGCCCAGGAUGGUGCCAAUGAGGAAGAAUCAGCAAAGUGUGCUGUCCAGGGUGCCAGUGAGGCAGAUGCUUCAGAAGAGAGUGAGCACUGUAUCAGGUGGAUCUGGUAGAGUGAGGGCUGAGAAAUGGCCAUUUAAAUCUAGAAACACUUUGUCAUGGUGAUUUUGACAACUGUGGUUUCAGUGGACUGGUGGGAAGGAGGUGCAGACAUGACUGGAGAAGUUCAGAAGAGAACUGGAGGAUUGGCUUGGGAGAGUGAGAAUAAGCAACACUUUGAGGAAUUGUGCUGUAAAAAGGGUACAGAGAAAUGGGCCAUAUCUGGAGGAGCUCAGUGGAAACUUCGCCAGCUCCCUCCCAGGCAUGUUGGUCUCUCCCCUUAAUCCCAUGGAUGUCCCAGUACUGUGGGGUCCUGUGUCCAUUUCCCUAAAUCACCAGGGUCUCCUGGAGAGGAGAAGUGGAUCUGAUUGGGUUCCUGAUAUUCCUUUUUACUGUAUCCUGUUCAUUUCCAUCAUAGAAUAGUUCACAUUUAGGUAUUUGUCUAUUUUUUAUUUGUUUUCCUCUUCCUGUAUUAGGAAUUAAGCUGGAUGAGGUCAGGGCUCACGUCUACUUUGUGCACCACUCUGUGUCCAGUGCUACCCCAGGGCCUGGCCCUUACGAGGCUGUCUGUAAGGUAUAGGGCUUUCUUCCUCCAAGACGCAAUAAUGGAUCCUGAAUCUAUAAUUUCUGCAUAUGUGAACUUAGCAAUUUACCUGAUACCUCUCUGCCUUAAUUUCCUUUUCCAUAAAAUGGAGAAAGUAAUAGUAUCUUUAUCACAGGAUUAUUGAAAAGAAGCAAUGAGAUUAGGCAUCAUCUGUAUUGGUUUCCACUUGCUGGUGUAACAAAAGACCACAAACUCAGUGGCUUAACACAAUACAAAAUUAGUAUUUUGCAGUUCUGGAUUUCAGAAGUCUGAAACGGGUGUUACUGGGCAAAAAUCAAGCUGUCAGCAGGGCUGCAUUCCUCUCGGUGCUCUUGCUUUUUCAGGUCUUGGAAGGCACCUGUAUUCCAUGGCUCCUCGUCCCCUCCAUCUUCAAAGACAACAAUCACAUCACUCCUACCUCUGCUUCCAUCUUCACAGCUCCUUCUGUGACCCAUAUGAUCCUGCCUCCCUCAUUCACUUAUAGGACCCUUGUGAUUACACUGGAUUCACCCAGUUAAUCCUGGAAAAUCUCCCAAUCUUGAGAUCCUUAACUUAAUCACACCUACAAAGCUCUUUUUGUCAUGUGAGGUAACAUAUUCAUAGGUUCUGAAGAUGAGGAAGUAGACAUCUUUGUGGGCCAUUAUUCUGCCUAUCACGUCACCCAAUAAGUGUUA